GAUCCCUUCGUCUAAACGGCCAGGACACCGCCCUUUCAAGGCAAUAAUGCGGGUUCGAUCCCCGCAGGGAUUG
This 73-nucleotide transfer RNA is filed under the name Oscillospiraceae bacterium. RNAcentral's name for it is "tRNA-Glu". It matches the Rfam family "tRNA". Rfam says of the family: Transfer RNA (tRNA) molecules are approximately 80 nucleotides in length. Their secondary structure includes four short double-helical elements and three loops (D, anti-codon, and T loops). Further hydrogen bonds mediate the characteristic L-shaped molecular structure. tRNAs have two regions of fundamental functional importance: the anti-codon, which is responsible for specific mRNA codon recognition, and the 3' end, to which the tRNAs corresponding amino acid is attached (by aminoacyl-tRNA synthetases). tRNAs cope with the degeneracy of the genetic code in two manners: having more than one tRNA (with a specific anti-codon) for a particular amino acid; and 'wobble' base-pairing, i.e. permitting non-standard base-pairing at the 3rd anti-codon position. The record is from RNAcentral. Lineage: Bacteria; Bacillati; Bacillota; Clostridia; Eubacteriales; Oscillospiraceae.